UCAAUUUUAUAAAAUAAAUAUAUUUAUAAUUUUUGUUACAUACCAAAUUAAGAUAAAAGAACCUAAGUUCUGGGCCGAAAUUAUUAACAUGGAAUCUGUUACUGAAUUCGCGAAUCGAAGGCGAAUACGAAAACGGGAACACGAAUUGUUGUCGAAGCGAAGCAGAAAUCAACUCGAAAUCAGGCAGGCGAAUACACAACAAGCAAUUGUGCAAUAUAAAUGGUAACAGACAGUUGAAUCAUUGGCCAUAAAUCAAUUCAAUUUGACACUUUAAUUUCGCAUAUCUUUCGUCCUUCAGACGCCCACAUAUAAAAUGGCCUGAAUCCAGCUGCUAAAAUAUAAAUGUCAGAUAAAUGUUAACUCUUCGCAACUGAUUCUCUUGCCAUAAAAAUGUGUACAAAUAUGCCAAGAUUAAGUGAAAUUAAUGCUGGCUUAUUUUUUGUUGUGAUUUUCUCGUUCUGCUACCAAAUGACUUUCACUUCGGGUUUCAGUCUUUGCAUUAGACCUGUCGUUAAAUGCCUUUCAUUAUCAUCGUUAUAGAACUCUGGCGAUGCUCUGUAAAUGUGGCUCGCUUGUCGUAAUGGGUUCGAUAUGUAAUGGGAAUGGAAUCUGCUUUUUUAUUAUUUUCUCAGUCAUCAAAACCAGUUUUCACUGAUAUGCAUCAGGACUUUGCAUCUGCUCUUGAGUCGGCUGCUUCCUGGCUUGGCCAGGUGAUUUAUAACCUUGAAACCUUUUAAAGUUUGGCCUUGAUCGCCGGUUUUUAUAUUUUUUCCCCCCCCUUUUUUGGUAGUUGCUUCUUAUGGCUGCCUUUGCGAAGUGCAUCUUUAAAGGCGAAGCCUUUCAACUGGUUUGGCCACAUUCUGUACUCAAGUAUUUGGGCAUUGUGUAUAUACAUAAUAAUUCGGAAUACAGUGUAGCUAGUCUUCCUGAAUUUCGACGGACAAACCUUGAUUAAGCUUAACUGAUAAUUAUUGUUAAUUAUUCCCAACCCUCAUACAUAUGCAUAAUGGGUGCCCACAAGCAAUUAAUCUGUCGAAUUGUGAAUUGAUAUAAACAAAGCCAUAAAAAUGCGACAACUCAAUAUGAAGGUAAUACCCGAAAAUUCCGACAAACCGACAAGCCCCUCCAAAGUUGGGUGGUUUUUAUGCAAAUAUGCUGUGUGUAUAUUUUUAAUAGAGUCGAUAAUUUUAAGAUGCGACCCUAAGCAUGCCGAGCACGUCUUGAACGCCGUUCGCCGGGGCCAUAUUGAUGAGCCGAUGAUAAUGCCAGUUGAUGUGUGGCCGUUCGCUAAUCCUUUGGCCCAUUCUGCAUGGUAAAGCGUUUGUUUUGCUAUUACCCACACUCGCACACGCACACACUCACACGCACGCCGUUAGCGACUGUAAAUAGCUGUUGACCAUGAAACGAUGCACAUUAUGGCCGUCAUCAGCACUACCCCAGUGCUGCCUGUCGAGCCACGUCCUCUGCUCCCCCAAACGCUAAAUAUCCGCCAAGUUAAGUGUGCGUGUGUGUGUGUGUGUGUGUGUGCAUUUCAUGUUUGACUUUCACUUGCAGCUGUGAUGUGCUCUACUGCGGCUAGCGAUGUCAGCACAACAAUGACAACAAUAACAAGUCAGAGCAUUCUAUGGCAGCGUGCACGACGAGCAGAUACCCUGCAGUCUCUCGCACUCACUCAGCGCCCUCUCUCCCACUCUACCACUCUUUCUCCAAUCAUCGCUGAGUACUAGUGCUGGAAAACAAUAUAAUAUAUCGAUAUAAUUAAUGUGUAGAAAACUAUCGAUUUAUUUUGGAAUCCUUAAUGUUCUCGAUGUUUUGCCAGCUCCAACACUUUUUGAGCAAAAGAAAGCGUCAAGUAAAAUAAUUUUAUUUCUUUAUACAAGCUACAGGUUUUUAACCAAAAAAUAUCGGAAAAUAUCAAUACAAAAAGCAAGAGCUGACAACCUUUGAGGACUUUCUGCCAAUAUUUUGCAUUCUGGCGAUGUGCACCUAAUCAAAGAGAGCAAAAGCCAAAUAAUUUCAAAUCGCAAAAACUUAAACAAAUUUGAAACUAAGGCUGAUCUCACAUGAAUUGACUUGGAAAAUAAUAAAUUUGAUUCUUUUUAAAAUAACUGUCUUCUAAAUUUUUUUUCGUUUUGAAAAGAUCGAUAAUAUCAAAAAACAUUGAUCAGGUACAGAUAUCGAUCUUUUUCCAGCAUUUUUUUUCAAGCUAAUUUUAUGUGUACAGGGUAUAUUGCAGUUUCACUGCGGCUACUGUUUUUUGGCAUUGUUUAAGGCCAUAAUUUGCAUCGAUUGCAAUGCGCACAGUGGUUCUAGUUAAUCAGAUUAACCGAGUUUAGUCAGUAUUAAAUUAUUGAAAUCGCUGACUAACAAUAUUUAUACGUUUAUGGUUACUGAACAGAGCGGCUUUUCGAUAUGAUCCACUAGUGUCCAGAUGCACAUAAACUAUUGCCAUUUGAGCACAGUGCAAGCCAUGAGUCUAGGGCGUGGUUUUUAUCAGCUCCAGAGCCGGGCAUAAAAUGUAACAUUGGCUCGCAAAUAGUGUCCCUUGUCAGUGAAGGAUGUCGCUGGGAAUGUUUUGCGAAUGCUCCUGCCAGCUGCACGAACGAACCGAAACAAUAUAAACAAUAUAAUAUGUAUAAUAGAAUUGAAAGCUGUGAGGAAGGCGUCGAGAGUAAAGCACUUAAUUGAGAGGCAUUGAGAAUUCUUGUUGCCUUUAUGAAUAUGAAUUAAUUGCCACAAUUAAGUGCCAUAUUGCGCAGGGAAAUGCUGUUCAAUAUGCGUUAUGCAUAUGCCUGUAGUUGCGUUGCCUAAGCUGUUUAAUGUUUAGUUGAGUCAAGUUAAAUAUAUUUUCAUUUCCGGAGAAAUUUCAGGAAAUUCGCGACCAACACUAAUCGAACUUAAUCUAAAGUCUGCGAUGAUAUCAUAUUGUAUAUAUAUGUAUAUAUAUGUGUACAUAUAACCCAGCUUGGGAAUAUUUUCUUCAAGUCAAUCAUUUUCUGUGCUCUCCAGGUGUGCUCGCCGUGUCACAUAUAAGCUAAUGCAUGUCAGCUCUAUAAAUCAACCGAUUCCAUGGUUGACUGAUGCUACUGUUUGUUAGCCAUAAAUCCCGGUGAAACGUGUCGCACGUGGCAUUUUAAUCACACUCACAAGACUUAAUCAGCGUAUCCAAACAUGCCGUAUGUUAUGUGUUAUUUUAUGAUGUCCUACGUUCAAUUAUAUUAUAAAUUACAUUAUUUAUUUAUAUUUGUAUAUACUAUAUUUAUUAAUUUUCCAAUUGUACAGAAUGGUUGUGGACCCAGUGUUUGCUUGACAUUUUCUACACAAACAAAAGAAUUUGGCUUUAUUAAAUUGCGACGAAAUUUAUUUGUUAUCUAAGCAGCAGAAGAUAAUAUAUAUGUAUAUGCAUAUAUCUAUAUACACGAGCAUGUUUGGGCUAUGUGUCAAAAAUAUGCACUUGUCGGAAUUAAUUUUGAAAUUUACUCAGAAAUUGCAUUUGCGUUUUUCAUGCUCAUUCAAAUUGACAGAAGGUCAUAUCUAAAAGCAUUAUAAUUGUGAGCCUUUUAUUACUUUCCCGCUUUUUCCACGUUCUCGCUAUAAUUUCACUCUCGAUAAUUUUCCACUAUUCUGCAUUGUUGAUUUUCAACAUCCUUGAAUCUAAAUAUUCAAUGUCAACAGCUUGACAUUCAUUUGAAGCAUAUGUCAGUCAACAUUUGUGUGUACUAUAUCAAAAUAAUUACCUAUAAUUACCUAUCAUUGUUUAAUAGAACAUAUAAUAAACGCGUGAUCACCUCCCCUUGCCCAAACGCCAUCGACAAAUAUCGAUAAAUAUUUAUUAACUUUUAUUUGUUGUUGUCCUUGCGAGCAAUCUACAAUCGAGAACUAAACUACGAUUUGUUUUACAUCGAUUUAUACUUUCGAAAUUGGCUUAAACAAAUGAAAUUAACUAGAAAAGCGCAACACAUUUAGCAGGCGACAUGUUAACAAGGAUAUGACAAACAAAUGACAACCACACGGGGGACUGUCUCUCUCUCUCUCUCUCUCUCUCUCUCUCUCUCGCUCUCUCUCUCUAUAUAUGGGCCAUUGAACAGCUCAAUUAGAUUUGACACAAGGCGUGGUCGUAUUGAUGCAAUGAACUAUUGACAGCUGACCUCAGCUAUUGAUUGCUGAGGUCACAAUCGUGCGUUGCAAUUUAUACUCUUCGGAUUGAAUAAUACAGCACAAAUAUUCUAGAAAUAUUUCUUAGUGCUUUUAAUUUCUGGCCUUAUCUUAAUUAAUUAUAUAUUCAGCGCAUUCUUAUCAGUUCCACCUGAUAUUUACUCUGAAUCGUAUUUACCCAGAUAUUCAAAUAGGCCGACGAUAAGAGUCGACGCGAAAACAAUAACAAAAAUCUAGAAUAUGCAUAGUAGGCAAAUAACUUGAUCGAAAAUUUUCCAAAUUCAUAGUAAAAUAUCAUAAAAAUUUCCAGCCAGCUCAGCUGGCCUAAUGUCAACAAAUAAGUCAACAAAUAACUUCUGCGUAGCUACAAAUAUUGUUCGAUAUGAUACCCUGUAGCCCAAAAUGAGGUCGUAUAAGUUUGCAUAUUUGUGGAAAAUAUGUUUAAGAGCAGCUAGGAAGCAUUUUAUAGUCGAUUUUACUACUCGCUUCUCUCUUUUCCAGCUCGAGGUACCUUAAGAAAUGCGGCCAGAUGGAGAAGUUUAAUAGACAUUCCUCGGAUAGUAAAAGUAUGUGGCCAAAAACUGAUUCUACAAACAA
Non-coding RNA from Drosophila virilis, 4752 nucleotides. The record is from RefSeq and is a predicted model, not a curated record. NCBI's taxonomy places the organism in Eukaryota, Metazoa, Arthropoda, Insecta, Diptera, Drosophilidae.